RNAcentral lists this ribosomal RNA (254 nucleotides) under uncultured bacterium. RNAcentral's name for it is "partial 16S ribosomal RNA". It matches the Rfam family "Bacterial small subunit ribosomal RNA", at positions 524 to 776 of the family's 1533-position model. The record is from RNAcentral.
CACGUAGGGGGCAAGCGUUGUCCGGAUUUAUUGGGCGUAAAGAGCUCGUAGGCGGCUUGUCGCGUCAACUGUGAAAACCCGUGGCUCAACCAUGUGGUCUGCAGUCGAUACGGGCAGGCUAGAAUUCGGUAGGGGAGACUGGAAUUCCUGGUGUAGCGGUGAAAUGCGCAGAUAUCAGGAGGAACACCGGUGGCGAAGGCGGGUCUCUGGGCCGAUAUUGACGCUGAGGAGCGAAAGCGUGGGGAGCGAACAGG